GUAGGUGAACCUGCGGAAGGAUCAUUACAGAGAACCUGCCCCUCGGGGUAGAUCUCCCACCCUUUGUUUAUAUUACCCUUGUUGCUUUGACAGGCCUGUCUCCUGACUGCUGGCUCUUGCUGGCCUGUGCCUGUCAGAGGACCCUAAAACCUUGCCAUUAAAUGUCGUCUGAGUAACAUACAAUUAUUAAAACUUUCAACAACGGAUCUCUUGGUUCUG
Molecule: unclassified non-coding RNA, 219 nt
Filed under: rhizosphere metagenome
Description: partial ribosomal RNA internal transcribed spacer region
Source: RNAcentral